UACAGAGGGUGCAAGCGUUGUUCGGAAUUAUUGGGCGUAAAGCGCGUGUAGGCGGCAGUGCAAGUCAGGUGUGAAAGCCCUCGGCUCAACCGAGGAAGUGCGCCUGAAACUGCAUUGCUUGAGUACCGGAGAGGAUGGCGGAAUUCCCGAAGUAGAGGUGAAAUUCGUAGAUAUCGGGAGGAACACCGGUGGCGAAGGCGGCCAUCUGGACGGAUACUGACGCUGAGACGCGAAAGCGUGGGUAGCAAACAGG
This 253-nucleotide ribosomal RNA is filed under the name uncultured bacterium. RNAcentral describes it as "partial 16S ribosomal RNA". It matches the Rfam family "Bacterial small subunit ribosomal RNA", at positions 524 to 776 of the family's 1533-position model. The record is from RNAcentral.